GUGAAUGUGCUUCUGGUCAUGUU
Molecule: microRNA, 23 nt
Filed under: Cordylochernes scorpioides
Lineage: Eukaryota; Metazoa; Arthropoda; Arachnida; Pseudoscorpiones; Chernetidae
Source: RNAcentral